Long non-coding RNA from Maniola jurtina (meadow brown), 101 nucleotides. RefSeq lists it as uncharacterized. The transcript is spliced from 3 exons. The record is from RefSeq and is a predicted model, not a curated record. NCBI's taxonomy places the organism in Eukaryota, Metazoa, Arthropoda, Insecta, Lepidoptera, Nymphalidae.
GCACUUGGUUGUUUCUCGGCUAGCCUAACCUAACCAGACUUUACAUUUUGGUGCCCUUCUUCUUCCUCUGGGAUUUUACGAUUACAUCGAAUGUGAUUCAG